UACGGCCGCAAGGUUAAAACUCAAAUGAAUUGACGGGGGCCCGCACAAGCGGUGGAGCAUGUGGUUUAAUUCGAUGCAACGCGAAGAACCUUACCUGGUCUUGACAUCCACAGAACUUUCCAGAGAUGGAUUGGUGCCUUCGGGAACUGUGAGACAGGUGCUGCAUGGCUGUCGUCAGCUCGUGUUGUGAAAUGUUGGGUUAAGUCCCGCAACGAGCGCAACCCUUAUCCUUUGUUGCCAGCG
Molecule: ribosomal RNA, 243 nt
Filed under: Salmonella enterica
Lineage: Bacteria; Pseudomonadati; Pseudomonadota; Gammaproteobacteria; Enterobacterales; Enterobacteriaceae
Also listed under: 1 other name
Description: partial 16S ribosomal RNA
Rfam family: Bacterial small subunit ribosomal RNA
Source: RNAcentral